This 494-nucleotide ribosomal RNA is filed under the name uncultured bacterium. RNAcentral's name for it is "partial 16S ribosomal RNA". It matches the Rfam family "Bacterial small subunit ribosomal RNA", at positions 28 to 507 of the family's 1533-position model. The record is from RNAcentral.
GACGAACGCUGGCGGCGUGCUUAACACAUGCAAGUCGAACGGAAAGGCCUGCUUUCCCUUGUGGAUUGCGGGUGCUCGAGUGGCGAACGGGUGAGUAACACGUGAGUGAUCUGCCCCCAACUUGGGUAUAAGCCCGGGAAACUGGGUCUAAUUCCCGAUAGGACUGCAGGGUGGUGCCUGUGGUGGAAAACGAUUUUCUAGUGGUUGGGGAUGAGCUCGCGGCCUAUCAGCUUGUUGGUGGGGUAAUGGCCUACCAAGGCGGCGACGGGUAGCCGGCCUGAGAGGGUGGACGGCCACAUUGGGACUGAGAUACGGCCCAGACUCCUACGGGAGGCAGCAGUGGGGAAUAUUGGACAAUGGGCGGAAGCCUGAUGCAGCGACGCCGCGUGGGGGAUGACGGCCUUCGGGUUGUAAACUCCUUUCGACCGCGAGGAAGCCACCUGGUUGGAAGGGUGGUGACGGUAGUGGUAGAAGAAGCACCGGCUAACUACGUG